ACAGUACAACUCCUACGGGAGGGCAGCAGUGGGGAAUAUUUGGACAAGUGGGGGAACCCCUGAUCCAGCCAUGCCGCGUGUGUGAAGAAGGCCUUAUGGUUGUAAAGCACUUUAAGCGAGGAGGAGGCUACUGAGACUAAUACUCUUGGAUAGUGGACGUUACUCGCAGAAUAAGCACCGGCUAACUUCUGUGCCAGCAGCCGCGGGUAAUACAGAGGGUGCGAGCGUUAAUCGGAUUUACUGGGCGUAAAGCGUGCGUAGGCGGCCAUUUAAGUCAAAUGUGGAAUCCCCGAGCUUAACUUGGGAAUUGCAUUCGAUACUGGAUGGCUAGAGUAUGGGAGAGGAUGGUAGAAUUCCAGGUGUAGCGGUGAAAUGCGUAGAGAUCUGGAGGAAUACCGAUGGCGAAGGCAGCCAUCUGGCCUAAUACUGACGCUGAGGUACGAAAGCAUGGGGAGCAAACAGGAUUAGAUACCCUGGUAG
Molecule: ribosomal RNA, 480 nt
Filed under: uncultured bacterium
Lineage: Bacteria
Description: bacterial SSU rRNA
Rfam family: Bacterial small subunit ribosomal RNA
Source: RNAcentral